AAUUUCUUCGCCCUCCACCAGUGAGCACGCCAAGCCACCGCCCCUUCCUGUUGCCCAGCGCCCCCCUGCAGCGCGCCCGCCCGCCCGCCUCCCUACCCUGGCCGCGGCGGCCUUCGCUCCAUGCACCUGCUUUAGGUUGCGCCGCCGUGCGCCCUCGCUGUGCCGGCCGACCUCGCCGCGGCCUGACCCAGUCAUCGUCCCUGCUUCAUCUCCCCGUCAUGCUCCUCCAUGGGCGUGGUGAUCACCUAUGCCGUCGUAGCCAUGCCUUGGGCGCCACACCGGCCGUCAGCCUCAUCUCUCUGCUCGCCUGUCUCCUUGCCUCCCUGUGCUCACCACGCCGGACGCCGCUCCCAACCCUCCACACUUCCCUCCCCAGGCCGCGGCGGCCUUCGCUCCAGCUCUGCCUCGCCAUCGACUGAGUCCCCACGUCCCUGCGCGGCGACGUGCUCGCCCAGGCCCUGCCAAGGACUCCUGCGAACUCCAACCUCAUCGCCUAGCCCCGCCACCGUUUCUAAAGUGAUGAUCCAUUCAGCAUGUCCUCGUGCUCAUCGCAUGGAUCAUAUCUGGGCUCACACUGGGGCUCGUCGCUCGGCCUCGUCGAGCUAGAGAUCCUCCAACAUAGCAGCACAGACGCCAAGAAGGCUUAGCCUUUGCAGGCACUUCCUAUAUUUCUUGAUAGGAUGUUUCAUCAUGUUCUUGCUGUAAUAUUGUCAGUGACAUUUGUUCUUGCCUUUGGAGAGGGAUCAUAUCUGAGCUCAGACUGGGGCUCAUGUCGCUCGGCCUAAUGUAGCAGCACAGUCAUUUCAGGAGACCAUUGAUAGUAUGAUGAGGUCGAUGCAAAAAAAAAUAACAACCACCUUCAUCAACUAUUAAGCUUCAGUCGAGGUCAAGCGUGUCCAUCUUUAAGUCUGCUUGACCACUAUAGGAUCUGUAACCUUAUGGAUGUUAUAGUAGCUAGUAACAAUAUGCUUAAUAUUUAGUACUUGAGUUGAAGUUAUAGGAUUUUCUUUGGAAUUGAAGUUAAAGGAUUUGUAGAUAUAUGUUUUGACGUUAUAUGAUUCUCUAAUGGAUGAAAUAUUCGUGUUCAACAAAAAAAAAAAAAAAAA
RNAcentral lists this long non-coding RNA (1106 nucleotides) under Zea mays. RNAcentral describes it as "uncharacterized LOC100280186, transcript variant 1 (LOC100280186)". Lineage: Eukaryota; Viridiplantae; Streptophyta; Magnoliopsida; Poales; Poaceae. The record is from RNAcentral.